RNAcentral lists this long non-coding RNA (1440 nucleotides) under Canis lupus familiaris (dog). Its description in RNAcentral is "lncRNA (ENSCAFG00000058360.1)". Lineage: Eukaryota; Metazoa; Chordata; Mammalia; Carnivora; Canidae. The record is from RNAcentral.
UCCUCAACAAAACAUUCUUCCAUUUGGGACUAGGAACAUGUUCUCAGGCUCCUCACUGUUGAGGGAAUUGACAUUAAAAGACCAAAACAGAAUAGGUUUCUUAAAAGUCUUGAACUUGAAAGAAGAAAAGCUCAGGGUUAGCUGGUUUCAGGGGGUCUAGAGUAGGGUGAGACACAUAAGCACUUCUCCGAGUGCAUCCUAUGGACUAACCACUGCUAUCAAGCCAGUCCUGGAGGGUGGAGCCCAAGCUGAGCUGAGGCACAGCUUCCUUGAAUCAUAAUUCCAAGUGACUACAUUAAAUAAGGUCAAAGGAGAAAGAAAACCAAAUGGCACAGGUUCAGGUAAGAGACAGUUGUGUUCAGGUUAUCUGAGGUUUGAAAGGACCCCAAGCUGUGAGAUGUGAAGAACACAUACACACACACUCACACAGGGCAGGACACUAAGGUAAGCAAGCUUCCAACAAAGAGACCUGCAACCUUCAACAUCUUCCUCAUUUACUCCUUCUCCACCUGUCCCCCAUUACCCUGGCUAGAUGUUAAUCAGCUACAGGACCACUUCUUCAAGGGGCUGGAGGAAGAAGGCUGGAGGCAUUCACCAGCUUAUAAAAGAAUGGUAUACCUUGCUUAGACAAGUGAAAGAUGACCUACUAACAGAUGUGAUUUUGCUGUCUAGAACUCCACUUUCAUCUCUUGUCUAAUCCAAACCAAGAUUUCUAUUUUCUUUUUUUUUUUUUUAAGAUUUUAUUUACUUAUUCAUGAGAGACAGAGAGACAGAGAGAGGCAGAGGCAGAGGAAGAAGCAGAACAAAGAUUUAUUAAUGGAAUGGAUUUGGGCAAAGCUGGAAAUAUCUCCAAGGCAGCCAAUCUGCUAACUCUGUGGAUUGGGAUACUGUUAAUAAGACUAAGAAAAGAAAUGAAACUGACGUGUUUCACUGUGUGUAUGGGAGUGGUAGUGGCAGUGAGUGGCAGUCAAGAAGAUCAUGAACUGGGUUCUGGACCAGAAAUUAAAAUUAAGAUGCUCAACCCAACACUCAUGUGAUGAGGUCUACCAGGCAGAUACACACACACACACACACACACAGACACACAAAUCUGGACAGAUCUUGGGAGAGGCUAACCUACUGAUACAGAGGUAACAAGUGACACCAAAGCAGAGGAUAAGACCAGAGACAGGGAUGCCUAGGUGGCUCAGUGGUUUAGUGUCUGCCUUUGGCUCAGGGCAUGAUCCCGGGGUCCUGGGAUCAGUCCCACAUCAGGAUCCCUGCAGGGAACCUGCUUCUCCCUCUGCCUAUAUCUCUGCCUUUCUGUGUGUGUCUCUCAUGAAUAAACAAACAAAUUUUAGGGGGAAAAAAACAAAAAAGACCAGAGAGAGAUGCCAAGGGAAUGCUAGUUUGAAGGAUAAUAAUGAAUGAACGAAUGCAGAUGGGAAACUCCAGAAACAU